This is a long non-coding RNA of Leopardus geoffroyi (Geoffroy's cat), 626 nucleotides long. RefSeq lists it as uncharacterized. Lineage: Eukaryota; Metazoa; Chordata; Mammalia; Carnivora; Felidae. The record is from RefSeq and is a predicted model, not a curated record. The transcript is spliced from 3 exons.
UUCAGAGGGAGUGGGAGAGACACAGAAGGGGAGGCUAGGGAGGGAAGAGGGCCAGAAACUGGGAGGGGAGGAAGUAGGGGCCAUAGGGAGGGAACAGGGCUGAAGGAGGCAAACCAAAGGCUAAGAUGAGAAGAGGGGGGUGGAGAGCAGGGGAAACAGGAAGAAAGGGAUGGAGAAAGGGAGGGAGGAGAGGAGAAUAAGCACUAAUGGAAGCUGGGCAGAGGAAGAGAAGAGAGGAAGUGGGAGGAAGAAUUUUCUUUGUUCUUUCUUCUCUUUCCCAGAGGGUGAGAGGAGGCAAGAGGGGCCAUGACUGAGGGGGUGAUGGCACCCCUGUGGCCCCUUCCAGCAUACGGCAAUUAAGUGUCUGGAGGGGAGUGCCUUUUCCUAACCCGGCACAAAGAUACCAUAUGGACCAGCUGCAGCUCUGGGCACAGGCUUGAAAAUCUGGUGGCUUUGGUUUUCCCUGUGAGGCAGAUUCUAGGUUAAACAAUCAAGAGAAGCCACAUCCAGACCUGACAUAAAUCAUGAGAUCCUGCUGUUAUGACUGGAUGAGACUUUGCGCAUCUUGGGGAUAAGUGUAUUUUCUAUGUGAGAGGGACAUGAAUAAAUGUAGUCAAGAGAGUGGA